This 483-nucleotide ribosomal RNA is filed under the name Aristaeopsis edwardsiana. RNAcentral describes it as "partial large subunit ribosomal RNA". It matches the Rfam family "Bacterial large subunit ribosomal RNA", at positions 1923 to 2608 of the family's 2925-position model. The record is from RNAcentral. Lineage: Eukaryota; Metazoa; Arthropoda; Malacostraca; Decapoda; Aristeidae.
UUGAAGGGCCGCGGUAUCUUGACCGUGCGAAGGUAGCAUAAUCAUUAGUCUUUUAAUUGAAGGCUUGUAUGAAUGGUUGGACAAAAAGUAAGCUGUCUCGGUCGCAGAGUUUGAAUUUAACUUUUAAGUGAAAAGGCUUAAAUAAUCUAGGGGGACGAUAAGACCCUAUAAAGCUUUACAAUAACUUGAAUAUAUUAAAAUUUGUUAGUGUAACUUAAUAUACUUGAGAUUUGUUUCGUUGGGGCGACGAGAAUAUAAAUAAAUAACUGUUCUUUUGCUUAAAUAUACAAUAAUAAUUGGUUAAACAUUGAUCCUUUAUUAAAGAUUAAAAGAUUAAGUUACUUUAGGGAUAACAGCGUAAUCUUCUUUGAGAGUCCAGAUCGACAAGAAGGGUUGCGACCUCGAUGUUGAAUUAAGGGAUCCUUGUGGUGCAGCAGUUACAAAGGAAGGUCUGUUCGACCUUUAAAUCCUUACAUGAUUUGA